Molecule: long non-coding RNA, 602 nt
Filed under: Rattus norvegicus (Norway rat)
Lineage: Eukaryota; Metazoa; Chordata; Mammalia; Rodentia; Muridae
Description: long non-coding RNA NONRATT022624
Source: RNAcentral
CGAAUACAAGAAGGGCUAUCUGGAUCAGGCCUCCGGAGGGGCUGUGCUCCAGCUGCGGCCCAACGACCAGGUGUGGGUGCAGAUGCCGUCAGACCAGGCCAAUGGCCUCUACUCCACUGAGUACAUCCAUUCUUCCUUCUCAGGGUUUUUGCUCUGUCCUACAUAACCCGUGGGGGGCCCUGCUGCCCCGGCCUCCUCCUCUUUAGCGAUAGAGACCUUUCCAGUUACAGAGAUCUCCAUUGGAAAGAAAAUCGAAAGCUGAACAGAGGCAGCGGUGGCCUCGGCCCGAGAAGACUGACCUGCUCUCUGUAGGCUGAAGUCGUUUCUGGAAGAGGUUGGCCUAAUUUCCUUUCCCCGAGGUGCACUGUGGGCGUUGUACCCCUGCUUUGGACCUGCCUGGUCUGCAGGCAGCGCCCCAGAGCACUCAGCCCGGGCCCCCUCGUGAGUCCUGGAAGCUGCUGGGAGAGAGAUGGCUUUCCUGUUGGCCUGAGAUGGCAUGGAAUGAGCCCAGGGCUUCCUGUGUUCUCUGGGUCUCUUCCAGCUCCCCAGGAGCUCCAGCACACGGCAUUAGGUUCUCUGAGGUUUUUGUUUCCUUUUGGGAG